AACCCAUGAUAAGGGCACCUUCUCAAUAGAUCCUUAAAUCUCUCCCUUGCAUCAUAUAAUGCUUCCAAAUCGAUUUGAGAAAAAGAAGAGAGAUCAUUCCUCAACUU
Non-coding RNA from Gossypium hirsutum (cotton), 107 nucleotides. The record is from Rfam. NCBI's taxonomy places the organism in Eukaryota, Viridiplantae, Streptophyta, Magnoliopsida, Malvales, Malvaceae.